AACUUUCAACAACGGAUCUCUUGUGGUUCUCGCCUCCGAUGAAGAACGCCGCGAAAUGCGAUACGUCAAUGUGGGAAUUGCAGAAUUCCGAGUGAAUCAUCGAAUCUUUGAACGCACAUUGCACUCCUCGUGGUAUCUCCGAGGAGUAUGCGCCUGUUUCAGUA
This 164-nucleotide ribosomal RNA is filed under the name fungal sp. 4.46.4A. Its description in RNAcentral is "5.8S ribosomal RNA". It matches the Rfam family "5.8S ribosomal RNA". From Rfam's summary of the family: 5.8S ribosomal RNA (5.8S rRNA) is a component of the large subunit of the eukaryotic ribosome. The record is from RNAcentral. Lineage: Eukaryota; Fungi.